This 520-nucleotide ribosomal RNA is filed under the name uncultured Entrophospora. RNAcentral's name for it is "SSU rRNA". It matches the Rfam family "Eukaryotic small subunit ribosomal RNA", at positions 569 to 1083 of the family's 1831-position model. Lineage: Eukaryota; Fungi; Glomeromycota; Glomeromycetes; Entrophosporales; Entrophosporaceae. The record is from RNAcentral.
AGCAGCCGCGGUAAUUCCAGCUCCAAUAGCGUAUAUUAAAGUUGUUGCAGUUAAAAGCUCGCAGUUGAAUUUCGGGAUUGGCGCAUCGGUCGUGCCUCACGGGGUAUGAACUGGUGCAGUCAAUUUCUCACCUUCUGGAGAACCGCGAUGUCCUUAAUUGGAUGCCGCGGGGAACCAGGACCUUUACUUUGAAAAAACUUAGAGUGUUUAAAGCAGGCAUUUUUGCUUGAAUACAUUAGCAUGGAAUAAUAAAAUAGGACGGCAUGGUUCUAUUUUGUUGGUUUCUAGGACCACCGUAAUGAUUAAUAGGGAUAGUUGGGGGCAUUAGUAUUCAAUUGUCAGAGGUGAAAUUCUUGGAUUUAUUGAAGACUAACUACUGCGAAAGCAUUUGCCAAGGAUGUUUUCAUUAAUCAAGAGCGAAAGUUAGGGGAUCGAAGACGAUCAGAUACCGUCGUAGUCUUAACCAUAAACUAUGCCGACUAGGAAUCAGACGAUGUUAAUUUUUUAAUGACUCGUUUGG